Apis mellifera (honey bee) is the source of this 738-nucleotide long non-coding RNA. RefSeq annotates it as natterin-3. The record is from RefSeq and is a predicted model, not a curated record. Lineage: Eukaryota; Metazoa; Arthropoda; Insecta; Hymenoptera; Apidae. The transcript has 5 exons.
CUUGAAAGAGAAUGAAACGUUUACGCCCAUACAUUUAAUAAAUGAGAAGCAACAUACCGUGUCGGAACUAUAUACUUGCACAUUUAAUAUACGCAAUUUAAGAAAAAUUUGUGUUUUAUAAAAGUAGUGCUAUAAAAAUAAAAAUGCCUGGAUAUAAAUGGGUUAGAUAUACGGGUACUCGUUACUUCGUACCUGGAAUGAUCUCAGUUGGCAAGGACUUGGAUGGUAUGAUACUUGUUGUUGGACGUGCUUAUCAUAAUGGCGAUAUGCUUCCUGCUAAAGUGAAGCCAGAACAUGGUGUCGCUUAUGUCGCUUAUGGCGGAAAAGAGCAUAUGAAGCAUGAAUUUGAGAUAUUGAUGCCCGCCGAUUUUCAAUGGAUUCCAUCGAGUAAUGGUCAUGUUCCGCCAGAUGCGGUAGAAGCUGGAAGAACAGUAGAAGGAGAAAUACUUUUUGUUGGUCGUGCAUAUCAAAAUGGUGUACCAUGUGUAGGAAAGGUUCCUUUUCAUAGGGUUUUCCAGUGACUAAAAGCUACGUAUGGACAGCUUUUUUUCCACUAUAUUAUAGGAAUAGGGCGGUUCUUAUGACUGCUCAGCACACAGGCCCCACGCCAUCUGCUAUUACAGACUACACAUGCACAGGCGCCUCUAACAAGACCCCAAGAUCCGUAAUGGUUUUGCACAAUAUCGGGUGUAUCAAAGUUUCGAGAUUUAAGUGUAAUUAAUUUUAUAUUGUUUUUAA